Molecule: ribosomal RNA, 502 nt
Filed under: uncultured bacterium
Lineage: Bacteria
Description: partial 16S ribosomal RNA
Rfam family: Bacterial small subunit ribosomal RNA
Source: RNAcentral
GAUGAACGCUAGCGACAGGCUUAACACAUGCAAGUCGAGGGGCAGCAUAGAAGUAGCAAUACUUUGGUGGCGACCGGCGCACGGGUGAGUAACGCGUAUGCAACCUACCUAUCAGAGGGGAAUAACCCGGCGAAAGUCGGACUAAUACCGCAUAAAACAGGGGCACCGCAUGGUGAUAUUUGUUAAAGAAAUUCGCUGAUAGAUGGGCAUGCGUUCCAUUAGGUAGUUGGUGAGGUAACGGCUCACGAAGCCGACGAUGAUAGGGGAACUGAGAGGUGGGUCCCCCCCACUGGUACUGAGACACGGACCAGACUCCUACUGGAGGCAGCAGUGAGGAAUAUUGGUCAAUGGGCGAGAGCCUGAACCAGCCAAGUCGCGUGAAGGAAGAAGGAUCUAUGGUUCGUAAACUUCUUUUGCAGGGGAAUAAAGUGCAGGACGUGUCCUGUUUUGUAUGUACCCUGAGAAUAAGGAUCGGCUAACUCCGUGCCAGCAGCCGCCGCAG